Molecule: ribosomal RNA, 253 nt
Filed under: uncultured bacterium
Lineage: Bacteria
Description: partial 16S ribosomal RNA
Rfam family: Bacterial small subunit ribosomal RNA
Source: RNAcentral
UACGAAGGGGGCUAGCGUUGUUCGGAAUUACUGGGCGUAAAACGCACGUAGGCGGACUACUAAGUCAGGGGUGAAAUCCCGGGGCUCAACCCCGGAACUGCCUUUGAUACUGGUAGUCUCGAGUCCGGAAGAGGUGAGUGGAAUUCCGAGUGUAGAGGUGAAAUUCGUAGAUAUUCGGAGGAACACCAGUGGCGAAGGCGGCUCACUGGUCCGGUACUGACGCUGAGGUGCGAAAGCGUGGGGAGCAAACAGG